Molecule: long non-coding RNA, 5194 nt
Organism: Gallus gallus (chicken)
Lineage: Eukaryota; Metazoa; Chordata; Aves; Galliformes; Phasianidae
Exons: 3
Source: RefSeq, a predicted model, not a curated record
CUCUGAGGACCACUGUGGUGCCUGGCCCACAACAAGUGCUGCAUGAGAGCUGCAGCGUGAGAGCUGCUCUGGCCAGAUGCAGCCAUGUCAUCACCAGCUUUCAUCAGCCCCAGCUCUGCUGUCACCAUGGUUCUGGAAGUGCUCAGGUCACCUCGCUCCCGGUUGUUCUGACACAAAAGCAACAAGACACCGAAGGCUGCCUUGACAAAAAGAAGCUGAAAUCCUACAAAAGGGCAAAUAGCGCAAAAGGGGGGCCCCUCCGCUGCUGUCAACCUGUGUUAUGGCUCGACAGAUCCUGCCUUGUGAUUCUGCCCAGUGAGGAUGCCCCGUGGCAUAAGCUCACCAUAUGACUGCACGCUGUGCACAUUGAGGUAACCAUGUGGAAGAGCUAAUUAUGAGACAGGAAAUUAGAGCACGAGCUCAGAGGAAGCAAUCUUUCAGCGCGCAGCAAACCCAACCAUGCAGACCUUAGCAACUGUCUCUGGAAAGAAAACUGGCUUCCUCAGAAGUACAUGGGUUAAAAAUCUCCCUUCCUCUCUCAACUUCUGCUGUUGCACAGCUCAGUGGAAGUCUAAGCAACACCGUCGAAGAUAAAUAGGAGCCUCCCUCAUUAACAGUUCAGCAGGACGCUCAAGCACACUCUUAAAUUUAGGCUUAUGGGUGAUCUUAACGACUUCAACAGGAUGGCUUGCAUGCUUUUUAUUAGGCAUGCGAGUGAGAACCUUGCUGAGUCACAUCCAGAAGGUUCGUACUUUCUUCAAGAUCAAAGGCAGCAUGCUAGCUCCUACAGCCGAAUCCACACGCCUGCACAUUAUUUGCCUUACACUGACUACAUUUGAGUGGGAUGAAGUCCAAUCUGCAAGCCAAAUUAAGCUCUCUCCCUCUUGUGUUCUUCUGUAUUUCUUUCUUUUUUUGUUAUUGAGCAUGUCAGCAGAAGAAGCUGACUUUUGACAGCGCAAAGAUUUGCAAAUGAAAUGCUGGAAUAGUUUGCAAGUUGCUACAGCACUAAAAUACUGAAAAGGCAAUCUGCAAUAAGGCUAAGUGAGAUGUAAAGAGAGUUAGAAUAAUGUUUUCACUGGCACCAAGGCACCUAUGAUCCCCCACCCUGAGGUUUAGAAAGAUGAAAGUACAAACUGCCAGACAGCAAUUCCUUUUGACUUGAGAGUCUACAUUUACUACUGUUUGCUUUGAAAUCACUUUAGCAGAAGAACAGAAUAGCAAAACAUCUUUGAAAUAUCUUCCCCUUCUGACCUGCCCCCAUCCAAAUUAUCACCAAAGCAAAGGCUGCAUGCACCACUCUCCCUAGCUCAUAGAGGAGCUCAAACAGCGUCACUGUCCCACAAAAACGGGCUUGGAUGGAGGCUGCAAAUAACAAAAGCUUGCUUUUGGCCUGCUAACUUUGCAAACACAGCUCUAGGUCAAGGGGUGAAAACAUGUAGAGCUGUCAGAUCAUGUUGGGUUCUCAGUGGAUCAGCUGUGACUUGGGGAGAGGAUCAAAGCGCUCACAGCCUGCUACAUACCACUGGGCUGGGCAGCAAAUACACACAGUACGACUCACCAGGAGGCACCUCUAGGAAAGGCAGGGAAACAGCUACGGCCAACUCAUAGGCAAGACCCAACCUCCCAGGAGCCAUAUAAGGAACCUGAAAGCUGGAAGACGUCACAAGGACAGGGGCAUCACUCAGGACAGGACCCUUUGGUCUCCAGCCUCAGAGAGGUGGCUGUACCCAGACUGGGGACUGACUGGGAGUCAGCUGAGGGCAGUGCAACAGAUAGCAACAGAUAGCAACACAUAUCUGCUCUGGAAAGCUUGCUGGCACUACUCACACAAAUAGAAAUGCAUACUUACAUACACACAUACCUGUCUGCCCUUAUAUUAAAUUCCCGUGCUUUUUGGUACAGGUUGAAAAAUAGGCAGUAGUCAGGUACAACUGAUGUCCCAGAACAUUUAUGAGACAUAAAUGAUGGUCUCGCUCAGAAAUAUGAUUAAUGAAGAAGAAAUCCUUUGUGGGCUUCUUGCCAUCUCAGCAAUUCCCAGUUCAAAUUGCCUUAUUUAGCAUGCACCAACCUUUGCUUUCGGAUUUCUUAAAGUAUGUACUGCUAAGUGAAACUUGAAGGCAGAAGCCAAACUCUUGUAUUCCCAAUGCAUGUGCCAUCUGCUUGGAAAUCAGAAAUCCUCAGAUGCUUCAAAUCAGACCUGAGAAUACAGUCAGCUGAAGACAACAGAUUAAUACUGAGAGAGCACAAACUGGGGCAGAGCGUGGGUUUGCAUUAGUGCUUGCUAUCUUGUUGCACUGUGGGUGCCAGAAGCGUUGCAGGAUCCAUCUAAUCCCUAAACAUAACCCUGCAUUUUGGACAAACUAUCAACAAGGAUCAGGUUUGCCCAUUAAAAGGUUGUUGCACAGGAAGGUCACUUUUUCAGUGCUAUUUCACUUUAACCUUUAUCGUCUGUGUUCACACAGACAGACUGAAUAACCAGAACCAGGGAAAGUUUUCCACUAACACACCCAUAAAUGUAUUUUUUCCUCUGAAGCAAUGGAAAACUUUUAAGGCACUUAGAUGCCACGAUGAUGAGCAUGGCAUUAAAAAAUGUAGAUAGAUAAGAUAAGGCAGAGGGGAUUGUCUGGCAGGAGUCAGCAGCUGUAAUCUGACAUGACGAUAAUUCCCCUUUGUGAAGGCUGGGGCAGGGGCAAUGUGGCUCUCACAUCUUCCAUUAGCAGGGCAACAAAUACAGAAUACUCAUCAAAGAGUCCUGUAAAAAUCACCGUAUCUCUCCAGCCGAUGUCUAGAGCCACCAAUAGAGUCAAAUGCUCUUAAAUGGGAAGUUACGGAGUGUACGGGGCCAGCAUCAAGCACCGACAGCUCAUCAGGGCUGAGACACUACGUGAAAGCAGGGUCAGUGCUUGAAUUAGGAUAUUGGUGGUAGAAACACAACACAGAGGAAAAUAAGAGAUUGUUAGUAAGUGCAAACUGUACAGGAAGUUAAAGCAAAAAUGAACUUUGCUUGUAUGUUAACUUCCUUCCCUCUAGCUAUGAAGUUUCAGAGGAAAGAAAAGUUAUCAUAAAGGCAUCUACUGAAAGCAAUGGGCUGGUCCCACCUAUAUCAUGGGUGGGACAAGGAACCCUCCUGUCCCAGCCCUGUGUACCCCACCAGCUUCAGUGGGUUAUAUCCAGAAAUAUCCCCCCAGGAAAAGAAGUGUCCUAUGGUGGAGGAGAGUGCACAAAGAUUGCACAAAGGCAAUGCUUGCCACAAUCCAUCGCAUCCACUAGCACAAAGGCUUGCUAGUCACAAUCCAUGCAGGAACACAACUCAGGAAACUAAAACCAGGGAAUGCUUAUCCCUCAGCGUGCUCCCAGCUCCUUGCCUUGCUCAGCCAAGGAUCUUCUUUGUUUAUGAGGUGAAGUGUCUGAACUCACCUCCUUCUGAGCCUCAUCAAGGUCUCUUCUAGUCCCAGUGGUGAGCUCUCAGUUUCCCUUUGCAAGGCUGAGGUGGAUUGGCAGCACAGCUCAGCAGCCCAGCAGCCCCCAGGCUCCUCUCACCUGUAAACCUUCAGUCCUGUCUGUCCAUCCACAUUUGAACCGGAGCUCCUUGCUGGCCUGCAGAAGGCAUGCAGUGUGAGGGGACUGCAACCACAAGACACGUGGACACACAAAGGGAAGUGGAAAGGGCAAGAGCCAAUCCAGCUGCUGCUCAGGUAAAUUGGUUGGAAGAAACAAAGCAGAAUUCCAAAAUGCUGAUAUUAAUAAAGCCCCAAACCAAACCAUAACAGCACCUUGACAGAGUGAUCCCCUUUUGCCAGUUUACACCAAAACCCACAGGACCUGCCUCCUUCCCCACAGCCAGUACUCAGGUUCCAAGGGAAAGCCCAGGUUCUGCCCCACAAGAGCACCAUCUGGGACAGCCAUAUGCAGGGAGUUUAAUAUUUAAGAGUUAGCUGAGCUCAAGAUCAUCAAAUCUUGAUGGACUGUUGUACCACAGAAUCCACACUGGCUGGCAUUGGCAUCCUAGUGCACAGCAACAGCUGCUGUUCAAAGCCCCAAAUUAACUUCUGCAAAAAUAAAUGCAGAUACAACAUAUAAAUCCUUCCACAACAAAACUGAGAUAAUUUGCUGUAAAGGCACAGCAGAGUUUUAUUUGUAUUUGUAUGCAUUUUAUUUAUUUCAUGUAUAUAUGUGCAUAUAUAUAAACGUUUCACGUUAGCAAGGGGUUUUAAUAUGGAAAAGAAAUCUUAUCUUACUGGGGUAGAAAGGUCAAGGUAUUUUAAACUAAUUUUUCCACAAUUUGUGUCUGACAGAAACUGAUGCUGUCUAGGUAAGUACCACUAUCUUGGGAUGAGCUCAGGGCCAGCAAAACAAGGUGAUAAGGAAGGGACAUCAUCUCAAAACCAAUAAAUCUCCUUCCCAGAUGGCAUUUUUAUCUGAGAGUGCCAAAAGAAGCUAGACAGGAAAUUUGUGGACCUAUAUAAUGGUAAACUUGUUAAGAGUAAGUGAAUUUCUGAAAGACUAACAGCGAGUUAAUCUGGUGCCUCUGAUUAAAAAAGAACCUCAGCACUUCAGCUAAUGUUUACAGCACAUAAAAUAAUUUAAUCCAGAGCAUCAGCCUCACAAAUAUGUAUGAAGGAGAUAGCAUAACUAGCUUGCAUUUUAAAGAGGUCCCCAAAACAACGAGCUAAAACUAGGGAGCACAGCACUGCAAGCACCGAGGCUUUCCUGCAUGGACUGAGAGGGUUCCUGUGCCAAGGAUCUCUGAAUAACCCCAGAGUUUAGUUUUAAGGCAAAAACAUGAAAGUAUGGGGUGAGCAUUGAAGCUCAGGAGCUCUUGCUCUAAAGCAGCCCUUCUGCUGCAUAUCAAGAGUGAGACCUUGGACCUCUGGUGGAGACUGUCUCAUCUCAUUAGGAUGAUGGACAGAAAGGACAGCAGGAACCCACAUGUGACAGCAGUGCCCUGGUACAGCAGGCUGUGGGAAUGCAGGAGGAACAAUAUCAGCUUUGGCUUCACAAUUGGUACCCCUAAACCUGCAGUAGAGCACAGCCAUUGCCCUGCUCAGACCAGUAAAUUUCAGGAGGACCACACUGUAGCCACAGGUCAUGUAGCUCAAAUAAGGAACUCACCCCUCAGUUCUCAUAGAAAAACAAUCCCAAGCACGUUUCACAUUUACCAGUAUUACUGUUGGACAGAUUCAAGCAGUGAUGA